This 508-nucleotide ribosomal RNA is filed under the name Limosilactobacillus fermentum. RNAcentral describes it as "bacterial SSU rRNA". It matches the Rfam family "Bacterial small subunit ribosomal RNA", at positions 45 to 521 of the family's 1533-position model. The record is from RNAcentral. Lineage: Bacteria; Bacillati; Bacillota; Bacilli; Lactobacillales; Lactobacillaceae.
UGCAGUCGACGCGUUGGCCCAAUUGAUUGAUGGUGCUUGCACCUGAUUGAUUUUGGUCGCCAACGAGUGGCGGACGGGUGAGUAACACGUAGGUAACCUGCCCAGAAGCGGGGGACAACAUUUGGAAACAGAUGCUAAUACCGCAUAACAACGUUGUUCGCAUGAACAACGCUUAAAAGAUGGCUUCUCGCUAUCACUUCUGGAUGGACCUGCGGUGCAUUAGCUUGUUGGUGGGGUAACGGCCUACCAAGGCGAUGAUGCAUAGCCGAGUUGAGAGACUGAUCGGCCACAAUGGGACUGAGACACGGCCCAUACUCCUACGGGAGGCAGCAGUAGGGAAUCUUCCACAAUGGGCGCAAGCCUGAUGGAGCAACACCGCGUGAGUGAAGAAGGGUUUCGGCUCGUAAAGCUCUGUUGUUAAAGAAGAACACGUAUGAGAGUAACUGUUCAUACGUUGACGGUAUUUAACCAGAAAGUCACGGCUAACUACGUGCCAGCAGCCNNCGGU